UACGAAGGGGGCUAGCGUUGCUCGGAAUUACUGGGCGUAAAGGGCGCGUAGGCGGGAUGGCAAGUCGGUCGUGAAAUCCUUCGGCUCAACCGAAGAACGUCGAUCGAUACUGCUGUUCUUGAGGGUUGCAGAGGAGACUGGAAUUCCCGGUGUAGCGGUGAAAUGUGUAGAGAUCGGGAGGAACACCGGUGGCGAAGGCGGGUCUCUGGGCAAUUCCUGACGCUGAGGCGCGAAAGCGUGGGGAGCAAACAGG
This 253-nucleotide ribosomal RNA is filed under the name uncultured bacterium. Its description in RNAcentral is "partial 16S ribosomal RNA". It matches the Rfam family "Bacterial small subunit ribosomal RNA", at positions 524 to 776 of the family's 1533-position model. The record is from RNAcentral.